RNAcentral lists this ribosomal RNA (624 nucleotides) under Triticum aestivum (bread wheat). Its description in RNAcentral is "partial small subunit ribosomal RNA". Lineage: Eukaryota; Viridiplantae; Streptophyta; Magnoliopsida; Poales; Poaceae. The record is from RNAcentral.
AUGUUAGUGAUAUUGCCUCCAUUCAUGAUUUUUCACAUUCCCAUGCAUCAUGAUAUAUAUGCCUUGUGUGUUGCAUCCAAUUCUUGGAUUACUUGCUCCUCUCAUAUGUUUGGUUGCAACAAUGUCAUCACUUCACAUAUGCCAUGUCCCAUUGAUUGCUACAUGCUUGCCUUGAUUGCCUCACAAAUGAUGAACAAUUGCUCUUUCCAUUGUGUUGAGUGCCACACGAUAUUCACUACACCAUAUGAACGUUAUGCUUGGAUUGUCUUGCACUUGACCCAUAUGUUUAGACACUUCACUUUAUUUGGUAUUGUGAAUGCUUCUUAUGCAUACCAUCGACCUUUCAUUGAGAACUUUGCCCAUGCUUUCUAUAACCUUGAGGUUGAUGCUUAUUCUCGUGUCACACAUAUUUGCAUCACUACCUCACAUUUACAUGCUUGUCCCCAUCAUAUAUUUGCUUAUGCUCAAUUUAUGUGCUUACAUGCCAUGUCACUAUCCUUUGCCAAACCAUACGCUUUGCAUGAUGACGACACUUGUUUAGUGAAUCACCUCUUGAAUGCUUGGUUUUGCACUAACGCUAACCACAUUUAUUUUCCAAGUGUUUGUUGUCCUUACUCCUUUUGA